RNAcentral lists this ribosomal RNA (506 nucleotides) under uncultured bacterium. RNAcentral's name for it is "partial 16S ribosomal RNA". It matches the Rfam family "Bacterial small subunit ribosomal RNA", at positions 29 to 523 of the family's 1533-position model. The record is from RNAcentral.
AUUGAACGCUGGCGGCAGGCCUAACACAUGCAAGUCGAACGGCAGCACAGAAGAGCUUGCUCUUUGGGUGGCGAGUGGCGGACGGGUGAGUAAUGUCUGGGAAACUGCCCGAUGGAGGGGGAUAACUACUGGAAACGGUAGCUAAUACCGCAUAACGUCGCGAGACCAAAGUGGGGGACCUUCGGGCCUCACGCCAUCGGAUGUGCCCAGAUGGGAUUAGCUAGUAGGUGGGGUAAUGGCUCACCUAGGCGAGGAUCCCUAGCUGGUCUGAGAGGAGGACCAGCCACACUGGAACUGAGACACGGUCCAGACUCCUACGGGAGGCAGCAGUGGGGAAUAUUGCACAAUGGGCGCAAGCCUGAUGCAGCCAUGCCGCGUGUAUGAAGAAGGCCUUCGGGUUGUAAAGUACUUUCAGCGGGGAGGAAGGCGGUGAGGUUAAUAACCUUGCCGAUUGACGUUACCCGCAGAAGAAGCACCGGCUAACUCCGUGCCAGCAGCCGCCGUAA